This is a long non-coding RNA of Pezoporus flaviventris, 439 nucleotides long. RefSeq lists it as uncharacterized. The record is from RefSeq and is a predicted model, not a curated record. NCBI's taxonomy places the organism in Eukaryota, Metazoa, Chordata, Aves, Psittaciformes, Psittacidae. The transcript is spliced from 2 exons.
UUCUGCAGAUGCAUUGAGUGUGUCGGUCCCUCUGCCCAAAGUUCCCAACAUCAGCCUCAGGAACGCCAAGGUUGACAUCACCGACGCAGACAGCUCUGCCGACCAGACCCGUCUGGACGAUUCCUGCCCCAGCGGACCCUUGUCCCUGCUCCCCUUCCAAGACCGACAGCACCCCAUGAGCUCCAGCCCCCUGCUUGCCUCCAUGUUCCCUUGAGCGCUGCCCUGGGUCGCUGCUGCGGCCCAAGAGCGAUGUGCAGCCAGCUCCAGUCAGUGGGUCCUGGCAUAGCCUGGCGUCAGGGUAGGGAAAACUGCUCUGCUGGUGGAUGCUGGGGGGGUCUGCGGCCACUUAUAACACCCCUGGUGGGGAAGCAGAGCUCUGCCUUGGCUCUGAAGGCUGCUCUCCUACUGCUCUUCCAAUAAAGCCUUCCUCUGCCUCAGU